CGCCGCCGGCUCCGUCCGGGGGAGGAAAGUCCGGGCAACACAGAGCACCGCGCAAGCCAACGACUUGACAGCCGUGAGGUUGUGGGAGCGUAACAGAAAAUAACCGCCCGCGUGCGGGCCGCGAUCCCCCGCGCGUCUUUUGAGACGGCGGGUGCGGUCGGCGGAACAUCCGGCGGGUAAGGGUGAAAAGGCGGGGUAAGAGCCCACCGCGGAGGCAGCGAUGUCAUCCGGCCGUACGUCCCGCGGGUUGCAAGACCAUGUAUACCGACAAUCAAGGGUUGCUCGUCCGAUGUCGGGGGGUAGGUUGCUUGAGGCGGCGGGAGACCGUCGUCCUAGAUAAAUGACAGGGGCCCGGGGCUCGCUCCGGGAACAGAACCCGGCUUACAGG
This 388-nucleotide RNase P RNA is filed under the name uncultured Alistipes sp. RNAcentral's name for it is "Bacterial RNase P class A". It matches the Rfam family "Bacterial RNase P class A". Rfam says of the family: Ribonuclease P (RNase P) is a ubiquitous endoribonuclease, found in archaea, bacteria and eukarya as well as chloroplasts and mitochondria. Its best characterised activity is the generation of mature 5'-ends of tRNAs by cleaving the 5'-leader elements of precursor-tRNAs. Cellular RNase Ps are ribonucleoproteins. Lineage: Bacteria; Pseudomonadati; Bacteroidota; Bacteroidia; Bacteroidales; Rikenellaceae. The record is from RNAcentral.